This 594-nucleotide ribosomal RNA is filed under the name Trichoderma longibrachiatum. Its description in RNAcentral is "eukaryotic LSU rRNA". The stretch from base 222 to 375 matches the Rfam family "5.8S ribosomal RNA". Lineage: Eukaryota; Fungi; Ascomycota; Sordariomycetes; Hypocreales; Hypocreaceae. The record is from RNAcentral.
GAGUAAACAACCCUCCAACCCCAAUGUGAACGUUACCAAUCUGUUGCCUCGGCGGGAUUCUCUUGCCCCGGGCGCGUCGCAGCCCCGGAUCCCAUGGCGCCCGCCGGAGGACCAACUCCAAACUCUUUUUUCUCUCCGUCGCGGCUCCCGUCGCGGCUCUGUUUUAUUUUUGCUCUGAGCCUUUCUCGGCGACCCUAGCGGGCGUCUCGAAAAUGAAUCAAAACUUUCAACAACGGAUCUCUUGGUUCUGGCAUCGAUGAAGAACGCAGCGAAAUGCGAUAAGUAAUGUGAAUUGCAGAAUUCAGUGAAUCAUCGAAUCUUUGAACGCACAUUGCGCCCGCCAGUAUUCUGGCGGGCAUGCCUGUCCGAGCGUCAUUUCAACCCUCGAACCCCUCCGGGGGGUCGGCGUUGGGGAUCGGCCCCUCACCGGGCCGCCCCCGAAAUACAGUGGCGGUCUCGCCGCAGCCUCUCCUGCGCAGUAGUUUGCACACUCGCACCGGGAGCGCGGCGCGGCCACAGCCGUAAAACACCCCAAACUUCUGAAAUGUUGACCUCGGAUCAGGUAGGAAUACCCGCUGAACUUAAGCAUAUCAA